Molecule: ribosomal RNA, 472 nt
Filed under: uncultured bacterium
Lineage: Bacteria
Description: partial 16S ribosomal RNA
Rfam family: Bacterial small subunit ribosomal RNA
Source: RNAcentral
GACGAACGCUGGCGGCGUGCUUAACACAUGCAAGUCGAACGCUGAAGCUUGGUGCUUGCACUGGGUGGAUGAGUGGCGAACGGGUGAGUAAUACGUGAGUAACCUGCCCUUGACUCUGGGAUAAGCCUGGGAAACUGGGUCUAAUACUGGAUACGACAUGUCACCGCAUGGUGGUGUAUGGAAAGGGUUUUACUGGUUUUGGAUGGGCUCACGGCCUAUCAGCUUGUUGGUGGGGUAAUGGCUCACCAAGGCGACGACGGGUAGCCGGCCUGAGAGGGUGACCGGCCACACUGGGACUGAGACACGGCCCAGACUCCUACGGGAGGCAGCAGUGGGGAAUAUUGCACAAUGGGCGGAAGCCUGAUGCAGCGACGCCGCGUGAGGGAUGACGGCCUUCGGGUUGUAAACCUCUUUCAGCACGGAAGAAGCGAAAGUGACGGUACGUGCAGAAGAAGCGCCGGCUAACUACGUG